UUUGCAAGAAUAAAAAUAAUUCUUCUUCCCGAAAUUCAGUGAGCUGAUUAUUACUUGCUAAGAGCUAAGUAAUUAGUGUCGCAAUACUAUUAUAAAAGUAAUUAUCAGAGGCUACAUACCUCCCGCCCUGAAAAAUAGCUGGUUUUUCAAAUCACAGUUUAAACUGCUCUAGCUAAAUACUCGAUAUAUUUACAAUUAGCUACGAAAUAAAAUUAAGGACAAGCUUAAUUUUCUCCCUCAUUUCAUAUAAAUUUUACCCUACGUAAGCCUAAGACCAGCUAUCAUAACAUCACGUUAUAGUAUAUUUAUCUUAAUCCUAUUCCACAAUAAAUACCCCCUCCUUGAAAUAACCAUUAAACUAAUAAUGGUUUAACCUAUGCAAAGAUUACUAUUACUAAUAUCUGCCCAUAUGUGAAAAAGGAACUCGGCAACUCCCUAUUCCGACUGUUUAACAAAAACAUUGCCUAUAGAUUUACCUAUUAUAGGUACGCCCUGCCCAGUGUUAUUAUCAACGGCCGCGGUAUCCUGACCGUGCAAAGGUAGCAUAAUAAUUUGCCUUUUAAUUGAAGGCUAGUAUGAAUGGGUAAACGAGAAUAGCCCUGUCUCUUUCACAAAAAUAAAAUUUUAUCUUCAGGUGAAGAAGCCUGAAUUUAUAUAAAAGACAAGAAGACCCUGUCGAGCUUAAGUCAGCUCAAUAGCCCUAUUACUACACUACCUCCUAGUCCAUGAUUUUUGUUGGGGCGACAAUGGUACAAAUAAAACUACCAAUAAAGCAAAGACCCUAAGUCUUUCAAAAGAUCCCAAAAAGAUCAAAAGAUCAAGCUACCGCAGGGAUAACAGACUAAUCUUCCUCCGGAGCCCAAAUCUACAGGAAGGCUUGGCACCUCGAUGUUGGCUUAGGAAAUCCCUUAGAUGAAGCAGUCUAAGAAGUGGGUUUGUUCAACCCUUAAAAUCCUACAUGAG
This 963-nucleotide ribosomal RNA is filed under the name Marphysa regalis. RNAcentral describes it as "partial 16S ribosomal RNA". It matches the Rfam family "Archaeal large subunit ribosomal RNA", at positions 1424 to 2673 of the family's 2987-position model. The record is from RNAcentral. Lineage: Eukaryota; Metazoa; Annelida; Polychaeta; Eunicida; Eunicidae.